Molecule: ribosomal RNA, 408 nt
Filed under: Fusobacteriota bacterium
Lineage: Bacteria; Fusobacteriati; Fusobacteriota
Description: Fusobacteria bacterium partial 16S ribosomal RNA
Rfam family: Bacterial small subunit ribosomal RNA
Source: RNAcentral
UGGGGAAUAUUGCACAAUGGACGGAAGUCUGAUGCAGCAACGCCGCGUGCGGGAUGACGGCCUUCGGGUUGUAAACCGCUUUUUCUCAUGACGAAGUUUUUUGACGGUAGUGGGGGAAGAAGCACCGGCUAACUACGUGCCAGCAGCCGCGGUGAUACGUAGGGUGCGAGCGUUGUCCGGAAUUAUUGGGCGUAAAGAGCUUGUAGGCGGUUUGUCGCGUCGAUAGUGCAAACUCAGUGCUUAACGCUGAGCCUGCUGUUGAUACGGGCAGACUAGAGGAAGGUAGGGGAGAAUGGAAUUCCCGGUGGAGCGGUGGAAUGCGCAGAUAUCGGGAGGAACACCGGUGGCGAAGGCGGUUCUCUGGGCCUUUCCUGACGCUGAGAAGCGAAAGCGUGGGGAGCGAACACG